This 462-nucleotide ribosomal RNA is filed under the name uncultured Streptococcus sp. Its description in RNAcentral is "bacterial SSU rRNA". It matches the Rfam family "Bacterial small subunit ribosomal RNA", at positions 924 to 1382 of the family's 1533-position model. The record is from RNAcentral. Lineage: Bacteria; Bacillati; Bacillota; Bacilli; Lactobacillales; Streptococcaceae.
CACAAGCGGUGGAGCAUGUGGUUUUAAUUCGACGCAACGCGAAGAACCUUUACCAGGGCUUGACAUCCCUUGACGUCUGUAGAGAUACAGAGUUCGAACCUUCGGGUUCGACAAGGAGACAGGUGGUGCAUGGUUGUCGUCAGCUCGUGUCGUGAGGUGUUGGUUAAGUCCCGCAACGAGCGCAACCCCUAUUGUUAGUUGCCAUCAUUCAGUUGGGCACUCUAGCGAGACUGCCGGUAAUAACCGGAGGAAGGUGGGAUGACGUCAAAUCAUCAUGCCCCUUAUGACCUGGGCUACACACGUGCUACAAUGGUUGGUACAACGAGUUGCGAGUCGGUGACGGCGAGCUAAUCUCUUAAAGCCAAUCUCAGUUCGGAUUGUAGGCUGCAACUCGCCUACAUGAAGUCGGAAUCGCUAGUAAUCGCGGAUCAGCACGCCGCGGUGAAUACGUUCCCGGGCCUU